AUCAUGGCCCUUACGGCCUGGGCUACACACGUGCUACAAUGGUCGGUACAAAGGGUUGCCAAGCCGCGAGGUGGAGCUAAUCCCAUAAAACCGAUCGUAGUCCGGAUCGCAGUCUGCAACUCGACUGCGUGAAGUCGGAAUCGCUAGUAAUCGUGAAUCAGAAUGCCACGGUGAAUACGUUCCCGGGCCUU
RNAcentral lists this ribosomal RNA (191 nucleotides) under uncultured Pseudomonas sp. RNAcentral's name for it is "partial 16S ribosomal RNA". It matches the Rfam family "Bacterial small subunit ribosomal RNA", at positions 1192 to 1382 of the family's 1533-position model. Lineage: Bacteria; Pseudomonadati; Pseudomonadota; Gammaproteobacteria; Pseudomonadales; Pseudomonadaceae. The record is from RNAcentral.